UCUUUCGUAGUAUAGUGGUUAGUAUGCGAGCUUGUCAUACGAAAGGAUGAUCCACACCCUGGAGUAACAACGCUCGAGACCCGGGUUCAAUUCCCGGCGAGAGAG
Coniella lustricola is the source of this 105-nucleotide non-coding RNA. Lineage: Eukaryota; Fungi; Ascomycota; Sordariomycetes; Diaporthales; Schizoparmaceae. The record is from the annotation of a GenBank genome assembly.